GAUGAAGAACGCAGCGAAAUGCGAUAAGUAGUGUGAAUUGCAGAAUUCAGUGAAUCAUCGAAUCUUUGAACGCACAUUGCGCCCGCUAGUAUUCUGGCGGGCAUGCCUGUCCGAGCGUCAUUUCAACCCUCAAGCCCCCGGGCUUGGUGUUGGGGAUCGGCGAGCCUCCGCGCCCGCCGUCCCCUAAAUCUAGUGGCGGUCUCGCUAUAGCUUCCUCUGCGUAGUAGCACACCUCGCACUGGGAAACAGCGCGGCCACGCCGUUAAACCCCCAACUUCUGAACGUUUGACCUCGGAUCAGGUAGGAAUACCCGCUGAACUUAAGCAUAUCAAUAAGCGGAGGA
RNAcentral lists this unclassified non-coding RNA (343 nucleotides) under soil metagenome. RNAcentral describes it as "partial contains 5.8S ribosomal RNA, internal transcribed spacer 2, and large subunit ribosomal RNA". The stretch from base 1 to 120 matches the Rfam family "5.8S ribosomal RNA", at positions 35 to 154 of the family's 154-position model. The record is from RNAcentral.